GACAGAGGGGGCAAGCGUUGCUCGGAAUUACUGGGCGUAAAGGGCGCGUAGGCGGGAUGGCAAAUCGGUCGUGAAAUCCCUCGGCUCAACUGAGGAUCGUCGAUCGAUACUGCCGUUCUUGAGGAUUGCAGAGGAGACUGGAAUUCCCGGUGUAGUGGUGAAAUGUGUAGAGAUCGGGAGGAACACCGGUGGCGAAGGCGGGUCUCUGGGCAAUUCCUGACGCUGAGGCGCGAAAGCGUGGGGAGCAAACGGG
This 253-nucleotide ribosomal RNA is filed under the name uncultured bacterium. RNAcentral describes it as "partial 16S ribosomal RNA". It matches the Rfam family "Bacterial small subunit ribosomal RNA", at positions 524 to 776 of the family's 1533-position model. The record is from RNAcentral.